RNAcentral lists this long non-coding RNA (1578 nucleotides) under Olea europaea subsp. europaea. The record is from RNAcentral. Lineage: Eukaryota; Viridiplantae; Streptophyta; Magnoliopsida; Lamiales; Oleaceae.
CGUGGCUUGUUUGGUAGAGAUGUUAAGUCAAUUAAAAUCAAUUUUUUAACCGUUAUUUUACUAUUCCAGACGUCAUUUUUGAAUUUUUCUCUCACAGAUAGAACCCACUUUAUCUAUAAUGGUCAAAAAAUCAAUUAAUAAAAUCUCCACCAAACAAGCUCAUAGUAUUUUGCAUCUACUUCUGUAGAAAAGAAUUACUCUUUAAUUAUAUGGAUAUGAGAUAUCUAUACUGUUUUUUUAGAGUAUGGAGAUUCUGAUGAAGGAUCCAUCUGAAAUCUUCAACCAAAAUAAAAAAGGGAAAGACUUCUGAGGCUCAAGCUCGCAUUUGACAUGAUUUGGAAAGCAGUAAAUUUAGAGUGUCGGAUGAUUAGUUGUUAGUUUUCUUUUCAGUCCUAACUUAGGUUUCCCUACAAUUUUAUUCCUUUCUAUUCCAGUUUCACAGGUUUUAAUACAGUCAGUUGAAUAAAGGGUAUUAGAGUUUCAAAAUCACAUUCUAUAGUAAAAAUUUGAGGCAGAUUGUUUUAAGCCUUGAUAUGUUUGUAAGUCAUAUCUGGAGCAAUAAGUUAGUUUUAUUUAGGACUGGUCACCUGUUUUUAAAGUAGUCUCCGAGUUGAAGUAGAAAUUUUUUGAGACUCUGUAAUGCUAGCUACUCCUAUAUGUGAUGUCUAAGGGAUCAUAUGUUCCUUAGUUGUCUUCCAUAAUUAUUCUUCUUAAAUUUCAGCGCGCUUAAUUAUUUCCCACAUCUUUAAACCAAUUUGUUCAGUGCACAACAUAAAAAAUAUUCAAAUCCAGUCUAUUUUCCAUUUAGAAACCUGACUAAACAGGGUUUUGAUUCCUUUGGGUUAAAGGAAAUGUUUGUGUGAUAUUUUAGAAGUACUCAUCAACUCCGAGAAACCUUAACCUUACAUCUCUUAUUUUGCUAAAUCGAGCCUUCUACACUCUACAUCAGGCCUUGAAUUCUACAGUUUCGUUAGAUUUUUUCUUAGCACGUAAUGCUCUUAUGGCAUAGAUUUCGUUAAUAGAUAGACCAAGUAAAUGGUAUGGUUGGUAAUGGCCGACCAUCACACUCGGCGAUCAGCAAAAUAUUCUACCUGCACUAGAUGCCCAAGGAUUCCAAAACUGAACCAAUCAAUUCAAUAUGUGGCAUACGAUCUAAAAGACUUGACCAAUCACUGUUGAAUUUUAAGCAAUGACCUGAAUCUGCCGUUCUAAAAUCCGGGAAAUCAACAACAGAUACUAACCAACAUAAAUACAACGUGCUUUGACAACCAAAUGGAAAUAGAUAAAAGCAACAAAAACGAAAAAUCAUAACAUCAUCAGCAAGUGAAACCUUUCUGAUCUUUAACAUUUUAGUAUCGAACGCUGGAAACUCCCGUAAUAUCAAUCCCUGCUUUUAUUUUCCUUUCAUUCUUAAUUAGCUUUCACAGUUUACUUGCCCCUAACCUAUGCCUCCCCCAAAAUACUCCUUUUUAAAACGGAGAAUGGAUUAUGGAAGAAAAACUCAAUCAACGAAUUGAAUACGGGAAUUAAAUUGAUAGGAAUAUUAAUCGGUUAUGUUUCACUGUACAAGAGUUUUAC